Molecule: ribosomal RNA, 263 nt
Filed under: Escherichia coli
Lineage: Bacteria; Pseudomonadati; Pseudomonadota; Gammaproteobacteria; Enterobacterales; Enterobacteriaceae
Description: partial 23S ribosomal RNA
Rfam family: Bacterial large subunit ribosomal RNA
Source: RNAcentral
GGGGCUGCUCCUAGUACGAGAGGACCGGAGUGGACGCAUCACUGGUGUUCGGGUUGUCAUGCCAAUGGCACUGCCCGGUAGCUAAAUGCGGAAGAGAUAAGUGCUGAAAGCAUCUAAGCACGAAACUUGCCCCGAGAUGAGUUCUCCCUGACUCCUUGAGAGUCCUGAAGGAACGUUGAAGACGACGACGUUGAUAGGCCGGGUGUGUAAGCGCAGCGAUGCGUUGAGCUAACCGGUACUAAUGAACCGUGAGGCUUAACCUU